AUAGCUUGCUAAUGAAAUUCUUAGUGGCGGACGGGUUAGUAACACGUGAGAAUCCUACCCUUGAGUGGGGAAUAGCCUUUCGAAAGGAAGAUUAAUGCCCCAUAGUCUCUACGGAGUAAAGAUGCCUUCGGGUGUCGCUUAAGGAUGGGCUCGCGGCCUAUCAGCUAGUUGGUGAGGUAAGAGCUCACCAAGGCAACGACGGGUAGCUGGUCUGAGAGGACGAUCAGCAACACUGGAACUGAGACACGGUCCAGACACCUACGGGUGGCAGCAGUCGAGAAUCAUUCACAAUGGACGAAAGUCUGAUGGUGCAACGCCGCGUGGAGGAUGACGGCCCUAGGGUUGUAAACUCCUGUCAUCAGGGAGUAAGACUUAUUCGUUAAUAGCGUGUAAGUUUGAUAGUACCUGAAGAGGAGGGGACGGCUAACUUCGUGCCAGCAGCCGCGGUAAUACGAAGGUCCCAAGCGUUGUUCGGAAUAACUGGGCGUAAAGCGUGUGUA
RNAcentral lists this ribosomal RNA (500 nucleotides) under uncultured Roseibacillus sp. RNAcentral describes it as "bacterial SSU rRNA". It matches the Rfam family "Bacterial small subunit ribosomal RNA", at positions 72 to 573 of the family's 1533-position model. Lineage: Bacteria; Pseudomonadati; Verrucomicrobiota; Verrucomicrobiia; Verrucomicrobiales; Verrucomicrobiaceae. The record is from RNAcentral.